Molecule: ribosomal RNA, 429 nt
Filed under: Chloroflexota bacterium
Lineage: Bacteria; Bacillati; Chloroflexota
Description: Chloroflexi bacterium partial 16S ribosomal RNA
Rfam family: Bacterial small subunit ribosomal RNA
Source: RNAcentral
UGGGGAAUAUUGCACAAUGGGCGCAAGCCUGAUGCAGCCAUGCCGCGUGUGUGAAGAAGGCCUUCGGGUUGUAAAGCACUUUCAGCGGGGAGGAAGGCGAUAAGGUUAAUAACCUUGUCGAUUGACGUUACCCGCAGAAGAAGCACCGGCUAACUCCGUGCCAGCAGCCGCGGUAAUACGGAGGGUGCAAGCGUUAAUCGGAAUUACUGGGCGUAAAGCGCACGCAGGCGGUCUGUCAAGUCGGAUGUGAAAUCCCCGGGCUCAACCUGGGAACUGCAUUCGAAACUGGCAGGCUAGAGUCUUGUAGAGGGGAGUAGAAUACCAGGUGUAGCGGUGAAAUGCGUAGAGAUCAGGAGGAAUACCGGUGGCGAAGGCGGCACCCUGGACAAAGACUGACGCUCAGGUGCGAAGGCGUGGGGAGCAAACAGG